Python bivittatus (Burmese python) is the source of this 1766-nucleotide non-coding RNA. Lineage: Eukaryota; Metazoa; Chordata; Lepidosauria; Squamata; Pythonidae. The record is from RefSeq and is a predicted model, not a curated record.
UGUGGCUCUUCCUACUGUUCUUCAAGGUUAUUCCUUCUUCCCAUUGCAAUAUAUUACUUGUGUUCACAUAACACACUUGAACAAGUCAGUUCAUGACCUAGCAACUGCAUUUGGCCAAUGCAUUAAGCCUGGUUUGUGUUCAACCUGGUUGAUUUGAGUGUUAAGCAAUAUGUGUGAAUGACAAAUAUAUGCACUGGGGGGAGAGAGGCUGGAGAGGACAUUCCAGGCCUCCAACCAAGCCUGCAGGCCAACUUUGCAGAAAACAGAUGUUUCUUGUCUGCUUCCUUUUGAUCAACUCAGUGGCCUCAAAACGCCUUUAGGAAUUAUGCUCCACUCUAAACUGCCAGGUGCAUGAGAAAAAAUAUUUUCCAUCAAGCAAGCUUUCACUUCACAGUUCUUUCCUGGCUGUGUCUCUUUCUUUCUGCUUUAAGGAAGCCCUCAUUUCUCGAAGGUGCACCUGCUCAACCACAGUGGAAAGAAAAACCCAAUCUCCUGAGAUAUUCCUAGAACUACACACAUGUAUGCUGAUUUCAUAUGCCUGGAAAACAGCCUUUGCUAGAAGAAAUCAACUGGAAUUUGCCUGCGUGCAUGAGAGAUAAAUCAGACAGAUGGGAACAUGACAGAACAAGUGAAAAUUGGAAUCAGCCCUACAGCUGAAAUAAAUCAAUCUGUUCAUCUUGAUCCUACAAACUCCACCCAACGCUUAGCUUUUAUCCAGGGCUGCAGGAAGAGGCAUUGAACGUGCCCACCAGCGAUCGCUAAACUCAAAUUCUCAUUCUUUCUCCACCGCUGCUAGACAUGAGAAUUACUUCUCAGCCAGACUGAUAAAGGGACUGAUGGUUAUCAAAAGUAUGAGCAGAUUCGGUUUUCGAGAAAAAUGAAGCUUUCGCCCAUUUCUCUUCCUUUCCAUUGGGAGAGCCCUAAAAAGUGGGGAAAGAUUUUGGCACUGGAAUAGACUAUAUAAAGAGGCUUCAUGUGAAAGUCAAACACUUGCUGGAAUCCUUGUGUGGUAACUAUAAACUUUCUUUCUGAUAAAUACAACUAAUCAUAACUUUUAAGGUUUGUUCUUUGGAUUAAGACAGGGUUUCUCAGCCUCAGCAGGUUUAAGAUGUGUGGACUUCAACUCCAUAUAUCUUAAACCUGCUGAGGUUGAGAAACUCUGGAUUAAGAGUUUGUUUCUAGAAUUGUGAAGUAGGUCUGACAUUGUCUUGGCUAGUGCUGAAGGAAAUUGAAGACUAUAUAUUAUACACCCAUCCAAUAGUGAAUCUCCUGAGAAACACAACUGAACACUAAUUCUCAUCAUAACCACCUAGUGACAACAUUAAGGAACAGACUACCCCACAGCCUAUCCAGCUAUUGUUGGAGGACACUGCUGGACAUCAAAAAAAUUAACUCAAGUGCUCUGAGCACCCGGAGAAUGAACCUUUCCUGAUCUUGUUUUGAAAUACAUACAAUUGGUAGAAGGUCCAGAAGCUGGAAGCAAGAUGGAUCUAAUGAUCUAAUGCAUCUGAUGAAGCAUACAUCUGAUGAAGUGAGCUGCGGCUUGCAAAAAUGUAUUGCUUUUAAUAAACUUUCUUAGCCUGAAAAGGUGCUACCAGACUCUUGAUUUUUGACCACCAUGAGCAUGACUACACAAAAAUCAAGCAAGGAGUUUCCUAAGAAGGAUGCCAGAAAGAGUUGGGAUGAAGAGUCCAAACCACCUGGGAAUGGUACUACCCACCCCAGAGUACAAUCGAACUGGAGUUAAAGAAUCCCAUUGGCUGACA